This 71-nucleotide transfer RNA is filed under the name Loxodonta africana (African savanna elephant). It matches the Rfam family "tRNA". Rfam says of the family: Transfer RNA (tRNA) molecules are approximately 80 nucleotides in length. The record is from Rfam by way of RNAcentral. Lineage: Eukaryota; Metazoa; Chordata; Mammalia; Proboscidea; Elephantidae.
GCAGUGUUGGCUUAGUGGUAGAAUUCUUGCCUUCUAUGUGGGAGACCCAGGUUCGAUUCCUGGACUAUGUG